CCUACGGGAGGCAGCAGUGAGGAAUAUUGGUCAAUGGGCUUACGCCUGAACCAGCCAAGUCGCGUGAGGGAAGACUGCCCUAUGGGUUGUAAACCUCUUUUGUCAGGGAGCAACGCCGGCUACGUGUAGCCGGACUGAGAGUACCUGAAGAAAAAGCAUCGGCUAACUCCGUGCCAGCAGCCGCGGUAAUACGGAGGAUGCGAGCGUUAUCCGGAUUGAUUGGGUUUAAAGGUGGCGUAGGCGGAAUGCCAAGUCAGCGGUAAAAUCGCGGGGCUCAACCUCGCUCCGCCGUUGAAACUGGCGUUCUUGAGUGGGCGAGAAGUAUGCGGAAUGCGUGGUGUAGCGGUGAAAUGCAUAGAUAUCACGCAGAACUCCGAUUGCGAAGGCAGCAUACCGGCGCCCAACUGACGCUGAAGCACGAAAGCGUGGGUAUCGAACAGGAUUAGAUACCCCAGUAGUC
RNAcentral lists this ribosomal RNA (460 nucleotides) under uncultured bacterium. RNAcentral's name for it is "partial 16S ribosomal RNA". It matches the Rfam family "Bacterial small subunit ribosomal RNA", at positions 338 to 795 of the family's 1533-position model. The record is from RNAcentral.